AAUGAACGCUGGCGGCGUGCUUAACACAUGCAAGUCGGAUGUGCCUGGCAACAGGUGCAUGGCAGACGGGUGAGUAACACGUGGGGAACCUACCUCUUAGUGGGGAAUAACGCUCCGAAAGGAGUGGUAAUACCGCAUGAGACCCUGAACUGGGAUGUUGAGGGUGAAACCUGGGGACCGCAAGGCCUGGGGCUAGGAGAGGGACCUGCGUCUGAUUAGCUAGUUGGUGGGGUAAUGGGCCUACCAAGGCAACGAUCAGUAGCCGGCCUGAGAGGGUGAUCGGCCACACUGGAACUGAGACACGGUCCAGACUCCUACGGGAGGCAGCAGUGGGGAAUUUUGCGCAAUGGGCGAGAGCCUGACGCAGCAACGCCGCGUGGGUGAUGAAGGUCUUCGGAUUGUAAAACCCUGUCGUCGGGGACGAAGAUUGGGAGUGAAUAGCCUUCAGUUUGACGGUACCCGGAGAGGAAGCCCGGCUAACUCUGUGCCAGCAGCCGCGGUAA
RNAcentral lists this ribosomal RNA (503 nucleotides) under uncultured bacterium. RNAcentral describes it as "bacterial SSU rRNA". It matches the Rfam family "Bacterial small subunit ribosomal RNA", at positions 29 to 523 of the family's 1533-position model. The record is from RNAcentral.